CAGUGAACCUAAAGAUUUGACAUCAGUGUUAACAAAGAGACAACUGACAGAGAUCUCAACAACCACUGGAGUUGAGCCAGCCUCUCUUGGUUAAUUUUUUGAAUAGAAGAAGUUUUUUUUUAAGGAUUUGUUUCUCACACAAAGUAACCAUCUGUUUUUUCUGACAGGUUCCUUGAUUCCUGUCAUUUCUAACUAUGUCUCUAAAAUAGAUUUUCUAGAGAAUUGCUUUUGGAAUGAUGGGGAAGAGUUCAUGAGGAAAAUUCACCAACUGAAGUGACCACAAACUAAAGAAAUAUGUGGACAGAACAUUUCCUAAAAGAUAAUAUUGAUAGAUUUUGGAAAACG
RNAcentral lists this long non-coding RNA (345 nucleotides) under Bos taurus (domestic cattle). RNAcentral describes it as "long non-coding RNA NONBTAT008132". Lineage: Eukaryota; Metazoa; Chordata; Mammalia; Artiodactyla; Bovidae. The record is from RNAcentral.